RNAcentral lists this transfer RNA (97 nucleotides) under Helianthus annuus (common sunflower). Its description in RNAcentral is "hypothetical non coding rna". The stretch from base 23 to 96 matches the Rfam family "tRNA". Rfam says of the family: Transfer RNA (tRNA) molecules are approximately 80 nucleotides in length. Their secondary structure includes four short double-helical elements and three loops (D, anti-codon, and T loops). The record is from RNAcentral. Lineage: Eukaryota; Viridiplantae; Streptophyta; Magnoliopsida; Asterales; Asteraceae.
CAGAUCCAGUGGAGACACAGUAGGGCCUGUAGCUCAGAGGAUUAGAGCACGUGGCUACGAACCACGGUGUCGGGGGUUCGAAUCCCUCCUCGCCCAC